CAGGAGAGUGAGUAGUGGCGGCUGCUAUGGAAGGUGAUCUAUGGCUCAGAGCACGUCAGAGGGGCAGCCACCUGGGCUCUGGGCACCACCCACUGCCAGCCUCCCUGAGCUAGUGGCCAGGGAAGUCUGGGGAGCUGCUUUGGUUUUCAGCCGCUUUCUUCACUAGAUUCCAGGCUAUGGUGGUUGUUCCCCCUGUGGUGACUCAGCAAUCUAGGCUUCUUCCAUCUUGCAAUGCCUCCAUCUCGAUUCAUGGCCUCCAUGAGCACUGUGGCAGAGGAACAGAGGUUAAGAAGAAUCCACUCCCACUCUUAACUGCCCUCAAACAAAUGGGACAACAAAUCUCUUUUGUUUAUAGCUCACCAGCCAAAACUAGUCACCUGAGUUCCAACUUAACUGCAACAGAGCCUGAGAAGUCUGCAUGCACACAUCAGAUAAGACAGUGGAUAUGGUGAGAUGUACUGAUCUGUACUAGAAGGAGGUCAUCCUAGUUCUGCUAGUGAUUCUAGGCUCAAAUGGAAAUCCUAUUAUAUGUGAAAAAUUGCUGGGCAGGGUUUCAGCAAAUAUGUCAACAGAGCAAAGAAAACAUGAAAAGACUAUAAGACUAGUUCUUAUGAAUAAAGCUGGGUAGGAAAUUAAUGAUAGCUCUCCCAGGACUAAGACACCUAGCCCAUUAGUUAAAUCUGUCUGCAGAAGAAGAUCAAGGAAGAGGUUUAGAAAGAACAUAUCACAAUUUCCCCUGACAAAAAGAUUCUCAUAUGUUUUCAUGCAUGCAAAUCAGUAGGCCUGACACACUUUCUUGAAAAUCCUACAAGAUUUGGUGAACUAUU
Molecule: long non-coding RNA, 827 nt
Organism: Canis lupus familiaris (dog)
Lineage: Eukaryota; Metazoa; Chordata; Mammalia; Carnivora; Canidae
Exons: 3
Source: RefSeq, a predicted model, not a curated record